UUAAACGCUAAAUGGAGCCGGUCGGGACGGGAUUUCCCCGUCCCAUUUUCAACCCUACCUAGAGCUGAGGGAGAGGCGGCGAGGGUGCGAAUCCCGCAUUCAAGCUCGAUGGAGGUCUCCCGGAUCUCCGCAAGAGAGUAGACCGCAGUUGCGCCACAAGGAUGCAUUGUUGGAUGCGAAGUCUGCGGUUUGUUUGGUCCAAACUGGAUCCAGUGCGCCGCCGAGCUCGCCGGCGGCCAGGCCCCCGAUGAACAGCGCGGGGCAAAGCGUUGGUACCGUUGCCUCAAGGUUGGGGUCUCCAGGUCAAGAUUCGACGCGAGCAUCUCCGCUCGAACUUCUUAUCAGGGUGAACUCAUCCCGACAUCCGAGCGUAAUUGUGUGUGAUGGUGUAGAAGUAGUCUUACUUUAGACCGUUUUGGAGCAGCUGGAGGUUUUACGGCAUACUGAUUUAAAUCGUACUUUUUUUUCACGCACUCAGAAUAGCUGCAUGUUUUUCUGGGUUCAAGUUUAGGUGGAAUGCGAUUUUUUCUAUAUUCAAUUAUCACAAUGGUUGUGUUUUUAGUGAUACUUAGAAUAGCUGCAGAAUGGCUGAAAACUGCUGCUGGUUAAAUCUUUUAUGGGAAGUGAUGCUACAUCUCGAAGCAUUUUUCUGCUGCUGGUUACCAGGUGAAACGGUAUAUAGAGAGCACUCAAACUAGUUAAAUCUUAGUACUUAAGAGGAUGUUUUUUGUUGUGAAGUAUUGCUAUACCAUUCUGCUGGUAGUUCUACUUGUUGUUUAGUACUAAGAUUGAUCCCAUUAGAGUACGGCAUUCAGGGUAUCUCACUAGAGGAUUUUGUUUUCGGUUUAGGGCGAGGAGCAGGUAGUUGUAAUCCCAUGGGCAGUGAUCCUUGAGAAGGUGAUGAAGUCCCUACCAGGCAAAAAAGGUCCAGUUUAUCAUUGGAUGAAGUCUGGUGUUUCUGGUUUCCAAGUAUGCAUUGAAUUGGACUGCACGGGCACAAGGUAUUCAGUUGUACCAGUUGGAUGCUGCAGUUCGGAAUUGAAGGCUUGGGGCUUAAAAACAACCCUUCCCCAGACCCCGCACAGUGCGGGAAGCCUACGGCACUGGGUAUGCAACUUAUGAACAUGGAAGGAUGUUUUGAACCAAUAUGUAUGCGAUGUGGCCGAUCUGCUUAUUGCUACACUAUCAAUCAGCGGAGAUGCCUUCAAUGUCAAAUAUGCAAGCUCAGCAUAUGGGAGGGCACUCUGAAUCAGUAUGCACAAGGCAUGUUGAAUCUAUGAAGAGGGAGAUUCAACAGUGUCGGUAGUUAUUGUCUGUGAAAGAUAUUUAGCUAGCUAGCAUGGAGGCAGAUGUGUUGCUGAAUGUCAUGUGCCACCAAGGAGGAGCAUCUUAAUAAAUUAGUAGGCACUACUAGCAUGCGAAUUGAGCAGCAUGGAAUAUUUGGAAGGUGUGGAAUUGGCAUAUUUUUUACCAUCGUCAGUUGGAUGUGGCGCAGGUCUUCGUGCGUAAGAUGGCUUGUGGUGCACCUGAGCUCUCACUACUCUCAUGAUUAGUGUUUUCUUUUUCGGAGUGGACGAGUCUUUGCUUAUUUAUGUAAUCACAACAUUGUAAGAAUUAGCUUGCUUGUCCUUAAAUGACAAAGCAGUGCUCUUGCUAGUUUUUCAAAAAAGUAUUCCUUGUAAUAGCUC
This is an RNA transcript of Panicum virgatum (switchgrass), 1688 nucleotides long. RefSeq lists it as uncharacterized. The record is from RefSeq and is a predicted model, not a curated record. Lineage: Eukaryota; Viridiplantae; Streptophyta; Magnoliopsida; Poales; Poaceae. The transcript is spliced from 5 exons.